GAGUACUUGAGGUUAGGGUCAGAAUUACAUUUUUAAAAAAUUAUUUAUUUAUUUGAAAGAUAAUGGAAGCACAAGCAAGAUGAGGGACAGAGGGAGAAGCAGAGUCCUUGAUGAGCAGGGAGCCUGAUUUGAGGCCAUAUCCCAGGACUCCAGGAUCAUGAUCUGAGUUGAGAGCAGAUGCUUAACCGACUAAGCUACCCAGGUGCCCCUGGUACAGGAUUACCUGAAAGGAUUAGAGGUGUCCAGUACUCACACAAGGCUGGGAAAAGUGUCUGUUCCCAAUAAUAAAACAAAAACUCCAGUUAUUCAUGAGGCAUUAGGUAGAGUACCGAGGAAUGUUUCCCCAGUAGAGGGGAAUAAUUAGCCCACAUUAAACACUGUUCUGGUCCUGCCUAAUAAUCCUUAAAAGUGAGAACUGAGUCAAUUUGUUUCCAAAUAACUGCAUCCCGGAUUAAAGUUCAAUAAGGCAAACAAACAACAACAACAAAAACAAUCCAGUACGCAACAGGUACAAUUCACUGCCUUGCAUCCGAUCAGAAAUUACCAACCUGUUGGUUUAACAUAUGCAAUCAAUAUGACAUAGCACAUUAACAGAAUGAAAGAUAAAAGCGACAUGAUCAUCUUGGUAGAUGCAGAAAAAUUAGUUGACAAAGUUAGUGUCCAUUAGUGAUAAAAACUCUCAUCAAAAUAGGCAUAGAGGAAAUUUCCUCAACACAAUAAAGACCAUUUGUGAAAAUUCCACAGGUAGUCUCAUUAUCAAUGGGAAAAAAACUGAAAUUUUUGUCUUUUGUACUUGGCCAAUACCAAGCAAAGAUCUUAUUCUCAGACUGGAAGUACUACAAGAGCAACUAGACCUGGUAUUUCUUAAAAAACAGCAUCCAAUCAAAAAGGAAGAAGUUAAAUUAUCUCUGUUUGCAGAUUACAUUAUUCUAUAUGCAAAAACCAUAAAUAAAAUACUCCAUUAGAAAUUGUUAGAACUAAUAAAUGGCUUCAGUAAAGUUUCAGGAUACAAAACAUAUAGAAAUAAGUCGCAAUUCUUUACACCAGCAGUGAGCUAUCUGAAAAAGAAGGAAAUCAAAAUUAUCCUAUUUAUAAUAUACCAUCAAAGUGAUGACUUAGAAAUGAUCUUAAACCAAGGAGGUCAAAGAUCUAUACAUUGAAAACUAUAAAACCUUUAU
RNAcentral lists this long non-coding RNA (1178 nucleotides) under Canis lupus familiaris (dog). RNAcentral's name for it is "lncRNA (ENSCAFG00000056289.1)". The record is from RNAcentral. Lineage: Eukaryota; Metazoa; Chordata; Mammalia; Carnivora; Canidae.